This is a long non-coding RNA of Solanum lycopersicum (tomato), 546 nucleotides long. RefSeq lists it as uncharacterized. Lineage: Eukaryota; Viridiplantae; Streptophyta; Magnoliopsida; Solanales; Solanaceae. The record is from RefSeq and is a predicted model, not a curated record.
AAAAGCCCCCCUCCCACACACUGUAAAACUAUGAUAAACAUCUCUGUUCUCUUUCAUCAAAUAUCUAUCUGCAAACAUUACAAACAAACAGUCCCCAAUUUGUUCUUUAGUUUUAUGAUCUUUUGUAAAAACAAAAAUUAAGGAUGUUUGAAUUGUUUGUGCUAGGAUGUACUGGUGUUGUCAUGUUCCUUCAUGGAGCUAAUUUCUUCUUCCAUGCUCUCUCUCAACAUAUGGCCAUUCGUUCCCUCAGCUUCUUAGGAUUUGUUGGUUGGUGAAGAUGAUGAAGGUUGCACCAACAGCAAUGUUAUUUUGUAAAUAUAUUUCAUUUCUUUCAGUUUCUUUUACCUUAUUUUUUAUAAGACAAAUGUUACUUAUAGACUAGUAGAAAAUGGAAAGAGAAUAUCUAUGAUGAAAGGGCUUUUAAGUGGUACAACCUAUCUUAUUAUUUUAGUCUCUUAUUCUAAUAUAAUUUUAUGUUGAUCACUUAUUUUUUCGGAAUCAAAAUCAGUUUAUCUAAUUCAUAAUAAUAACGAUAUGUUUUGCGUA